Molecule: ribosomal RNA, 137 nt
Filed under: uncultured eukaryote
Lineage: Eukaryota
Description: partial 18S ribosomal RNA
Rfam family: Eukaryotic small subunit ribosomal RNA
Source: RNAcentral
UGGUGGAGUGAUUUGUCUGGUUAAUUCCGUUAACGAACGAGACCUUAGCCUACUAACUAGUCAACUCAAUCUCGAUUGAGCAUGACUUCUUAGAGGGACUUUGUGGUCUAAACACAAGGAAGUUUGAGGCAAUAACA